This 117-nucleotide ribosomal RNA is filed under the name Candidatus Portiera aleyrodidarum (primary endosymbiont of Bemisia tabaci). Lineage: Bacteria; Pseudomonadati; Pseudomonadota; Gammaproteobacteria; Johnevansiales (SeqCode); Johnevansiaceae (SeqCode). The record is from RNAcentral. RNAcentral also lists the same sequence under 1 other name.
CUUGACGAUUAUAGUUGGUGGGACCAACCUGAUACCAUUCCGAACUCAGAAGUUAAAUCACCUAACGCCGAUGGUAGUAUGAGGUUCUCCUUAUGUAAGAGUAGGUUAUCGUCAGGC